UUCAUUCAUUAAUCUCAAAGAUUAUAUACGUUCAUUUACAUCCCUAGUAUAAUAUAAAUAAAACGACCAAUUUGUCGAUAUUGGUCAUUUGCCUCGUCUAAAAUGUUGAGCACAUGUUGCCCAUAUGCUUCCGUUGGGUAGACCUCUCUUAUGAGGAUUUUCACCUUAUGAGCCAUCUUUCUUGUUGUGAAAACAACCUUAGUGAUUUGUUUUGCAAGAUGCUCCACUUUGGCUUGUUUCUUCAAAAAAUUUUGUCACCACACCUCACUUGUAUUCUAUAUUGUUACGUAUGCUUAAAGUGAACGACAUUCUUUCUUGAAUGAAUCAUACUCCCUUUAAAGUACUCUAAUGGUCUGCUUGAAUUGCUCACGAUCUCCUUGGAGUACUUGGAUAGCUCUUCAUUGAUUGUGUAACUUAUGUCCCAAACUAUGAACAAAAGGUUGGAAAACAUCCUUCUAUU
RNAcentral lists this long non-coding RNA (460 nucleotides) under Theobroma cacao (cacao). RNAcentral describes it as "long non-coding RNA (TCAC_LNC005315)". The record is from RNAcentral. Lineage: Eukaryota; Viridiplantae; Streptophyta; Magnoliopsida; Malvales; Malvaceae.